RNAcentral lists this RNase P RNA (381 nucleotides) under Fibrobacter sp. Its description in RNAcentral is "RNase P RNA component class A". It matches the Rfam family "Bacterial RNase P class A". From Rfam's summary of the family: Ribonuclease P (RNase P) is a ubiquitous endoribonuclease, found in archaea, bacteria and eukarya as well as chloroplasts and mitochondria. Lineage: Bacteria; Pseudomonadati; Fibrobacterota; Fibrobacteria; Fibrobacterales; Fibrobacteraceae. The record is from RNAcentral.
GCUGGGUAGCGGAUGGCCGCCGGCAGCAAUGCUGGAGGAAAGUCCGGGCACCGCAGGGCAGGAUGCUGGAUAACGUCCAGGCGUGGAAACGCGACAGACAGUGCAACAGAAAGCAAACCGCCUGACAAGGGUUUCGGCCUUUGUCCGGUAAGGGUGAAAUGGCGAGGUAAGAGCUCACCGCAUUCCUGGUGACAGGGAUGGCACGGUAAACCUCAUCCGGUGCAAGACCAAGCAGGAGUCCGUCCGCAAGGACCAGUUGCUGCCCGCAGCUGUUGGACAUCCGGGUAGGUCGCUUGAGGCGGUCGGUAACGACUGACCCAGAGAGAUGGUCAUCGCCUUCUUUCGAAGGUACAGAACCCGGCUUAUAGCUACCCUACACGA